This 1013-nucleotide long non-coding RNA is filed under the name Panax ginseng (ginseng). RNAcentral describes it as "long non-coding RNA (PGIN_LNC012502)". Lineage: Eukaryota; Viridiplantae; Streptophyta; Magnoliopsida; Apiales; Araliaceae. The record is from RNAcentral.
CUCCCGUACAAACUACUCAAUUUCCAUAAGCAGAAUAACAAUAUUUGUCUUAUGCUGGUAAUCUCAAUUCCUCUCUAGACUUGAAGUGUUCUUCAGUUUCUCUUAUUUUUUCCAGGAACUUGCAGCCAUCUAUUGCAUAGAAAAAUUCAUAAAAACCAUCUCUUAGUUUAGUGUCAAACUGUGGAAACAUAGAUGAAGAAACUCAGAACAGACAAGUUUUACACAAAUGGCCAAGAAAAUUUUAUAUUGUCAAUGAUUAUAUUAUGAACGUUGCUACAUAUGACGACAAAUUCAUGUCAAUAUUAAAGAUCAACGUGUAUGGACACAAAGGGUGUAAAGAAAGAACCCACAUAUAAGGUUCCAUUUUAUCCCUUAUAGUUAAAGGCUGGUCGCAAUACACAUGCAACAUAAAUUAGUCGACAUAUAAAUCGUUUUCCUAACAUUAUAGGAUAAAUUGGCAUGAACUAGAGUAACAGUCGCACGUUGGUCGGCGGUCGCCAUACACAUUCAACGAAAAGUUAGUCAACAUAAGUAUAAAUCAUUUUUCUUAUGCUAUACCAAAAAAAUGACAUGAACUAGAGUAAACAAACCUUAGAAACAGGAUGCUGACCACCAGAAGAGGGGGGGAACUCGGAAAAACAAAAUCUUCCAGCUCAAUACAACACAUCCAAGACCCAAGAUAACAAAAUUAAUACUACUCAAAUCCAAAUUUCUUCAAUCAAUCCUUGUUUUUUUUUCAUGCCCAGUUCACUAAAUUUGAUUAAAAUCAACUCCCAGCUCAAAUUUUAAUACACAGGACAAAUUUGAGAAAGGGGAAGAUAAUUUCAUCUCCUUAAACCCAACAAAUUCAAGAUAAACCCCAUAUCACAAUCCUCAAUCUAAUUCAUUUUGCAGUACAAAUUUGAAAAAUGAAAAUGAUAACAACCAGUAAGAUGUGUAGUUAAAUUAAAUAAACAAAAUUGGAUCUCACCUUUUGUAUCCCAAUGCUAUUCGCUAUUGUAUACGAGUUUGUU